This 333-nucleotide long non-coding RNA is filed under the name Setaria italica (foxtail millet). RNAcentral describes it as "long non-coding RNA (SITA_LNC001858)". Lineage: Eukaryota; Viridiplantae; Streptophyta; Magnoliopsida; Poales; Poaceae. The record is from RNAcentral.
CACACUUGGUCCUCGCCGGUGGGUCCCCGGCCGGCCCGGGAGCGGCGCCACUGCCACCUACACCUCCGAUGCCAAGCUAGAGGCGUACAGUGCCAGAUUUUAGCAUAUUUUCCAGCCAUACGCCGCCACGAGUUUUCCCAUUCCGCGACACUGGCCAAGAGCCUCGCUCAUGAGUUGGAAUCAUGGCACUUGGAUCGGCCAUUGGACGCGAGCCGUCACCGGCCAUCUUAGCACUUGACCACUGCUUAUACAUAUGCAAAACACAAGAGAGUAUAGCACUCCAUGGUGCUGGUGUUUUUGUCCUUCGCUACCUCAACGGUGUGACAUCCACAG